RNAcentral lists this ribosomal RNA (400 nucleotides) under uncultured bacterium. Its description in RNAcentral is "bacterial SSU rRNA". It matches the Rfam family "Bacterial small subunit ribosomal RNA", at positions 355 to 772 of the family's 1533-position model. The record is from RNAcentral.
UAGGGAAUAUUUGACAAUGGGGGAAACCCUGAUCGAGCGAUGCCGCGUGAGUGAUGAAGGCCUUCGGGUUGUAAAGCUCUUUAGCCGAUGAAGAUAAUGACGGUAAUCGGAGAAUAAGCACCGGCUAACUUCGUGCCAGCAGCCGCGGUAAUACGAAGGGUGCUAGCGUUGUUCGGAUUUACUGGGCGUAAAGAGUGCGUAGGCGGUAUUGUAAGUUAGACGUGAAAGCCCAGGGCUUAACCUUGGAAUAGCGUUUAAAACUGCAAGACUAGAGUAUGGGAGAGGAUAGUGGAAUUCCGAGUGUAGAGGUGGAAUUCGUAGAUAUUCGGAGGAACACCAGAGGCUAAGGCGACUAUCUGGACCAUUACUGACGCUGAGGUACGAAAGCGUGGGGAUCAAA